UGGCUCAUUAAAACAGUUACAGUUUACUUGAUAAUAAAAUUUUACAUGGAUAACCGUGGUAAUUCUAGAGCUAAUACAUGAGCAAAAUCUUGACUUUUUUGGAAAAGAUGCAUUUAUUAGAUAAAAAACCAAUACAUACUUUUUAAGUAUGAAAGUUGGUGAUUUACAAUAACUUAGCAAAUCGCAUUGUGAAAACUGGCGAUAAAUCAUUCAAGUUUCUGACCUAUCAGCUUUCGACGGUAUGGUAUUGGCUUACCGUGGCAGUGACGGUUAACGGGGGAUUAGGGUUCGAUUCCGGAGAGGGAGCCUGAGAAACGGCUACCACAUCUAAGGAAGGCAGCAGGCGCGCAAAUUACCCAAUUCUAACAGCAUAAGAGAGGUAGUGACAAGAAAUAACAAUACAAGGCAGUUAAAAUGCUUUGUAAUUGGAAUGAUAGAAAUUUAAACACUUUUUAAAGUAUCAAUUGGAGGGCAAGUCUGGUGCCAGCAGCCGCGGUAAUUCCAGCUCCAAUAGCGUAUAUUAAAAUUGUUGCAGUUAAAAAGCUCGUAGUUGAAUUUCUGCUUAAAAUAACCGGUCUGCUUUUAACAAAAGUGGUAUCUUGGUGUGUUUUUAGCAAUAUUGUCCUUUGAAAUGUGUUUUACUUUGUUGUAAAAAACAAUAUUCAGGAAUUUUACUUUGAGAAAAUUAGAGUGUUUCUAGCAGGCUAAUGCUUUGAAUACUGCAGCAUGGAAUAAUAAAAUAGGAAUUUGGUUCUACAUUAUUGGUUU
RNAcentral lists this ribosomal RNA (768 nucleotides) under Karyolysus sp. RNAcentral describes it as "SSU rRNA". It matches the Rfam family "Eukaryotic small subunit ribosomal RNA", at positions 94 to 850 of the family's 1831-position model. Lineage: Eukaryota; Apicomplexa; Karyolysidae. The record is from RNAcentral.